Molecule: long non-coding RNA, 926 nt
Filed under: Xyrichtys novacula (pearly razorfish)
Lineage: Eukaryota; Metazoa; Chordata; Actinopteri; Labriformes; Labridae
Source: RNAcentral
CUUCUGUUGCUUUGUCCACUGAGUAUGAAAAUCUCUUUCCAAAGGGGCUGAGAAAAUUAUCACUCAAACGGAAACUCUGGUUAACCCAACAGUCUUUGAACGUAUCAUGUAGGACUGUAAGUUUGUUGGGCCUUCAAUGAGGGAGUGACUCACACGGACACAUUAACGCUUUUGAGCACAGAGUCAGCAGCUCGAGCAUGAGGAGGAAACUGACUCUGUACACACACACAUAGCUCAUGUUGGAAUGUGUUCAGAACCACAUGCUUGUGACUGAUCCUGAUGUUUUGUCUACGCAGUGACACAGAGUAUGUUUCGCUUCAACACUGAGGAUGAAAAAGUUCCUGAUUUUGACUGUUUGAACAAAUUCGGCCUGCACGUCCAGUGUCCUGAAUCUCCAUGUCUGAGUGACCAAAUUCCUUAUCCAGCAGCACUUGAACAAGAUGCAAGGAUGCAAGGAAUUAAAGUGAGGACAUGUAUAUAACUCUGGAGUUAUCCUCUAUUUUAUUGAUGACAGUUUAGCUCAAUAUUUGGUGCUUUAUACUCAUGUCACACAGUUUUAUCACAAGACCUGAUAAAUGUUUCAGGGCUCUCCUAAGAAUGUUCGGGUCCUGCUUUUUCAUGGUGAUGUGCACUGCAGCAUCUAACCAGUGAGGGAUGUUUGAUUUGGGGCUGUGUCUCUCUGGAGAAAGACCUUCACAAAGGCUGCGUUCACGUAUCCUCUCCCCUGAUUUCCCUCCUCUCUCCUUUCUCCUCUCUCCUCAGGGCAAUGUUGUAAGGGAUCCAGGGCACACCGUUAAUCUAAAGUCUUAGUCCUGACCCAGAAACAGCAUGUCUGACAGUUGCAGUUUUUCUUUUUCCGAAAAGAAAAAGCAAGAUCCUGUGACCUGUGACAACAAAAAUAAAUACCUAUUACCUUCAAACCCAAG